UACGUAGGGCGCGAGCGUUGUUCGGAUUCAUUGGGCGUAAAGGGUGCGUAGGCGGCGCGGUAAGUCGGGUGUGAAAUCUCGGGGCUUAACUCCGAAACUGCAUUCGAUACUGCCGUGCUUGAGGACUGGAGAGGAGACUGGAAUUUACGGUGUAGCGGUGAAAUGCGUAGAUAUCGUAAGGAAGACCAGUGGCGAAGGCGGGUCUCUGGACAGUUCCUGACGCUGAGGCACGAAGGCCAGGGGAGCAAACGGG
RNAcentral lists this ribosomal RNA (253 nucleotides) under uncultured bacterium. RNAcentral's name for it is "partial 16S ribosomal RNA". It matches the Rfam family "Bacterial small subunit ribosomal RNA", at positions 524 to 776 of the family's 1533-position model. The record is from RNAcentral.